CCUACGGGAGGCAGCAGUAGGGAAUCUUCCACAAUGGACGAAAGUCUGAUGGAGCAACGCCGCGUGAGUGAAGAAGGUUUUCGGCUCGUAAAGCCCUGUUGGUAGUGAAGAAAGAUAGAGGUAGUAACUGGCCUUUAUUUGACGGUAAUUACUUAGAAAGUCACGGCUAACUACGUGCCAGCAGCCGCGGUAAUACGUAGGUGGCAAGCGUUGUCCGGAUUUAUUGGGCGUAAAGCGAGUGCAGGCGGUUCAAUAAGUCUGAUGUGAAAGCCUUCGGCUCAACCGGAGAAUUGCAUCAGAAACUGUUGAACUUGAGUGCAGAAGAGGAGAGUGGAACUCCAUGUGUAGCGGUGGAAUGCGUAGAUAUAUGGAAGAACACCAGUGGCGAAGGCGGCUCUCUGGUCUGCAACUGACGCUGAGGCUCGAAAGCAUGGGUAGCGAACAGGAUUAGAUACCCCAGUAGUC
Molecule: ribosomal RNA, 465 nt
Filed under: uncultured bacterium
Lineage: Bacteria
Description: partial 16S ribosomal RNA
Rfam family: Bacterial small subunit ribosomal RNA
Source: RNAcentral